This 13322-nucleotide long non-coding RNA is filed under the name Sorghum bicolor (sorghum). Its description in RNAcentral is "long non-coding RNA (SBIC_LNC012095)". Lineage: Eukaryota; Viridiplantae; Streptophyta; Magnoliopsida; Poales; Poaceae. The record is from RNAcentral.
AGAAAACAAUAGGAUGCAUAAGAGACUCAUAUGUGCCCCAGAAACAGUCGCACACAUAAGUAGACAAAUCUCAAAUGUACCAUUGCAGUGCUUAUUACAUAGCGAAACAUAAUAAAUCACAUAGUCUCAUACAAAAAUGAUAGCAUAGAAUAAACAACGCUCUCGAUGGAAGCUCCACACAGGGACACUGUUGACUGGUUGACUCCAAACCUAGUACUCAUAACGGUAAUCCUCAUUCCAGUCAUCUUCAUUAUCAUAUCCUGAGGUGUUGGGAAAUUGCAAGAGUGAGCACAUAUCGUACUGAACAAGUAUAACCAGGGGUUCAUGAGGCUCAAAUAGCUAACACUGGUUUGACGGCGUUUAGCUUUUAAUAGUGGGUAGCAUAUUCAUAAUUAAAUAGCAAAUGUCAAGGUAGCAUAAAUAAUCCAAUAACCACAUGAUCAAGUGUAAGCAUAAUUAAUCUCAUAGCAUAAACGAUAACCAAAUGAACAUAAUAACAUAACAAGCUCAUCAUCUUAAUGUAGAUGUCCCCAAGGCCGCUCCUGACCGUGAGCUCGGCUAAUAUACCAGUUUUACACUCGGCAGAGGUUGUACAUCUUUACCCAUGAGUCAUGAUUUACCCUUUCGCCCGAGGUAGCUAAUCUCUUAACCCCCUUCCCAGAGAGGUCGGCAGGGAUCACUAUGAAGCCUUUCAAGAGUUCGUCUAACAUGUUAGGGCCGCAAGGUUUCCUUUGCGAGCAGAUAUAGAUACCCCCCUUCCGAAUGACACAAUGACGCACAACCUAUACACAUAGGGACAGGGGCUCGCACUAUACCCGUGUCGGUUCAGCCUCUCCGCCCUUUCGGGUAACCUCUAACAAGCUAGAAAAGGUCUCCAUACUGAGCUAAAGCCAGAGCCAUUAUAGCCCUCAUGGUUGCACUGCUAUCCCGGGUGAUCACGUACAGACAAGAUCUCAUACAGUUAUUUGUUAUUCUUUUAUGUUCAUUGCAUAGCUAUUAAUCAUCUUACACGAUCAUGGAUUAUAUCAAGCACUAGCACAUCUACACCAAAUGCAUAUCAAGUAGGUAGCAAGGAAUACAGGUAACAAUCAUCUAUGAUUUUGCUAAGGUCGACAAGGUGAUAGCAUGCAUAUGAUAUAUAUGUGUAGUUAUAAGUGAAUAGGUAACAAGGAUGAUCCCAAGUUAUACUUGCCUUGCUCAAAGCUCUCCUGAGCCUGCUGGUCCUCAAAGGCUUGGUCUUGAUCACCAACGUACGGCUCACCGUCUAUUCCCAACCACCAAUCAACAACACGCAAUCCAAUGGAGACAAUCAUACACAAAGCAAACAAGAUAUAAUUAGAACAUUACACCAAACAGUGGUAAAACAAAUAUAAAAGUUUAUGAAAAUAUUCUACGCAGCACUACGAUCACACAAACGUAAAGUUCACGAAAAUCGGAAUUAAAACGUGAAAGAUAUGAAUUUUCUAAGAUUUCCUAUAGAGAAAUAAUUAAUUAAAUGCUACUGUAGAAUUAAGAAGUUUCAAAACAGAGAAUAAAUACUUCUAACAUGUAGAGCUUGUAAAUACGAAUCCAACGAAAUUUGAAUGGACAAAAACGGAAUUAAAAUGAAUAUUUUAUGAGCAAAACCAAAUCAGUGGCAAUUCUGUAAUUUCUGGAAAGCGCAUUCGGAGCUCAGCCGAAAGGAAUACGCUUUCUAACUUGGAAAACGGAAACUUUCAUAAGGCGCCAAGGACUGCGGAGUAAUUAGUAAAAACAUCUAGGGACUCUUAAAGAAAACGCGCAGCGAAGGGGUAUGAUCUGUUUUGGGCCCUUAGAUCUUGAUCCAACGGCUCGGGCGCAUCUAGGAGGCCAGUGGCGGCGGGACGGCCACCGGCUGUCUGCUCCGGCGCGGCGGCUCCAUUACCGGUCGAAAGGAGCUCGCCGGCGAUGACAGAAUUCCCGAUUCCGAGCACCAAAUUGCGAAAGGAAAACGCCGGGAGGAUCGGAAGCUCACCGCGGUCUCGGCUAGGGCCGUUGCUCGGGCCGAGAGAGAAGGAGGGCGCGGAUUUGCGGCGGCGCACUUCGGUGGAAUCCCGAGCUCCAAGUCGGGUGUCUAGGGCUAGGUUUCUUCGGGGUUUUUGCGGCUCGGUGAACGAACGGGAGGAGGGCGACCUAGGGACCUUUAUAGAGCUCAGAAAAGAAAGAUAUCCCAUGAUUUUCGGGAUCGAUUCGGCCCGGUGGAGGUGUCCGCCUCGGUUACGAAUCGGGGAAGAAGAAGGCCAGGGCGCUGACAGGUGGGGCUAGAGCUGCAGAGAGAGAAAGGGACGGGGCCCGGCUACCAUAGAAGAAGGGGGGUGAGGGUGCGCGCGCGGCCGGCCUGGUUGCUGGGCUGAGGGGAGGGCAACUGGGCCGCAUUAGCGGGCCGGGGGAGGAGGAGGCGCAGGGGAAAAGGCGGGGGCUGGUUGGGCCUCUCGGCCAGCAGGCCUUCUCCUCUAUUCUUUUUUUAAAAAUCUUUUCUGUUAUCUUUUCUCAAUUCCUUUUUCCAAAGAAGCUUUGAAGCAAAAUAAUCAAAAUAAAAACAGAACAUACAAUACAAAAUAAUUAUGCUCCAGCAUGAAUGCAAAAUUCACGUUUCUAAAUUUAUGAUAAAUUUUAAUUUACACAAAAUUAUUUAUUUGCUAGCUUCAAUGUCCACAAAAAUACUUAAAUAAAUCAAAUUAAUUCCUAAUAAUUGAAAUCAAAAUUUUGGGUGUUACAAACUCUACCCCCUUAAGAGAAUCUCGUCCUCGAGAUUGAACGGUGCUUACUCGAACAGAUAUGAGUAUGAUUUCCUCAGAUCAUCCUCUCUUUCCCAAGUUGCCUCUUCUUCCGAAUGCCAAUUCCACUGUACUUUGCACAUUCUGAUGACCCGACUUCUGGUGACUCUGUCAGCUGUCUCAAAUAUUUUGACCGGAUACUCUUCAUAAGUGAGAUCACCUUUAACAGAAAGUUCUUCCAAUGGUAGUUGCUCCUCAGGUACACGCAAACACUUCUUCAGUUAUGACACAUGGAACACAUCGUGCACACCAGACAAAUUUUCAGGCAAUUCUAACUGAUAUGCUACUUCUCCACGCCUUUCUAAAACUUUUAACAGACCAACAUACCUUGGAGCUAGCUUUCCCUUCAUAUUAAACCUCUUCACACUCCGCAUAGGUGACACUUUCAGAUAGACAUAAUCACCCACUUCAAAAGCCAACUCCCUCCUACGCGUAUCUGCAUAGCUUUUCUAACGAGAUUGAGCAACUCUCAAGUUAUCCCGAAUAGUCCGCACUUGUUGUUCUACAUGUCUAAGCACAUCUGUCCCGAACACCUAAGUUGCUCCUGUCUGAUUCCAGAACAAAGGUGUCCUGCACUUACGACCAUACAGUGCCUCGAACGGUGCCAUCUUAAGACUUUGCUGAUAGCUAUUGUUGUAGGAGAAUUCUGCAUAUGGCAAACUCUUGUCCCAACUAGUUCCAUACUGCAAAGCACAAGCUCUCAACAUAUCCUCCAAUAUCUGAUUGAUCCUCUCAGUCUGUCCAUCUGUCUGUGGAUGAUACGCUGUACUGAAAUUCAACUUGGUUCCCAAUGAAUCAUGCACUGCUUUCCAAAAGUGAGAUGUGAAUUGAGUACCCCUAUCUGACACAAUCUUCUUAGGUACCCCAUGCAAACAAACAAUUCUCUCCAUAUACAGCUCAGCUAGGCGUUCUCCAGUGUACUUAGUUUUAACAGGUAUGAAGUGAGCAACUUUAGUCAAACGAUCUACUAUCACCCAUAUUGAGUCAUACCCUCUCUGUGUACGUGGUAAACCCACAAUAAAAUCCAUACCCACUUCUUCCCACUUCCAUUCUGGAAUCUUCAUUGGUUGCAACAGUCCAGCUGGCCUCUGAUGUUCAGCUUUCACUCGCUGACAAGUAUCACACAAAGCAACAUACUCAGCAACGUCUCUCUUUAAACCAUACCACCAGUACUUUUGUUUCAGAUCUAGAUACAUCUUAGUGCUACCAGGAUGAAUGGAAUAUGCUGACUCAUGAGCCUCUCUCAGAAUCAUAUCACGAAUAGCCUUCACUUCAGGAACACAUAUCCUUUUUCCAAACCACAGUACACCAUUGUCAUCUAUUCUGAAUCCUGGUGCUUUGCCUAGUACCACGUUCUGUGCUAUCUCUUUUAGUUUCUCAUCAUCUAACUGUCCUUUCAAUAUCUCUUCCUCUAGAGUAGGAGUGACCUCAAUUUCCAUCGCAUUUACUACAAUUCCCAAGUUCAAGUAUGCAAAUUCAGCACACAACUCCUCAGAUUCAGGUGUCGCCCGAAGCUCAUUAGCAUAUUUCUUCCUGCUAAGUGCAUUAGCUACGACGUUUGCCUUUCCAGGAUGAUAAUGCACUUCCAAAUCAUAAUCCUUUAUCAGUUCCAACCAUCUUCGUUGCCUCAAGAUCAGGUCUGUCUGGGUGAAGAUAUACUUUAGACUCUUAUGAUCCGUGUAUAUGUCACUCUUAUGCCCAAUCAAAUAGUGUCUCCAAAUCUUCAAUGCAUGAACCACAGCUGCUAACUCUAGAUCAUGAGUAGGAUAAUUCAGUUCAUGUUUCCUCAACUGUCUAGAUGCAUAAGCAACAACUCUACCUUCUUGCAUAAGAACACAACCCAAACCUAGAUGAGAAGCAUCACAAUAGAUAGAUAAACUCUUACUCAGAUCUGGCAAUACCAACACAGGUGCAGUAGUCAAUCUCUUCUUAAACUCCUCAAAACUAGCUUGACACUUAUUAGACCAUACAAACUUAGCAUUCUUCUCCAAUAGAGCAGUCAUAGGCUUUGCAAGUUUUGAGAACCCUUCAAUGAAUCUACGGUAAUAACCAGCUAAACCAAGAAAACUGUGAAUUUCACUUACAUCUGUAGGUGGUUUCCAAUUCAGCACAUCUUUCACCUUACUAGGAUCCACUGCAAUACCACCAUUAGAGACAACAUGACCCAGAAAACAAACUUCUUCCAACCAAAACUCACAUUUACUACGCUUAGCAUACAGUUUAUGUUCUCUAAGUUUCUGUAAGACCAAUCUCAGAUGUUCAGCAUGUUCUUCCUUGGUUUUAGAGAAUACCAGAAUAUCAUCAAUAAAGACCACCACAAACUUAUCAAGAUACUCUAUAAAUACUUUAUUCAUCAUGUACAUAAAGUAAGCUGGUGCAUUGGUCAAACCAAAAGACAUAACUGUAUACUCAUACAACCCAUACCUUGUUGUGAAAGCUGUCUUUGGUAUAUCUGAAUUCCGGAUCUUCAAUUGAUGAUAACCAGAACGCAAAUCAAUCUUAGAGAACAUACAAGCACCUCUUAGCUGAUCAAACAAGUCAUCAAUCCUAGGCAAGGGAUAUUUAUUCUUGAUAGUGACCUCAUUAAGUGACCGAUAAUCAACACACGUCCUCUGACUAACAUCCUUCUGAUCAACAAAGAUAACCGGUGCACCCCAUGGUGAUGAACUAGGACGAAUGAACCUUUUAUCUUGUAAUUCCUUAAUUUGUUUCUUAAGUUCUUCUAGUUCAUUAACCCCCAUUCUAUAUUGUUGUAACAUCCCCGAUGUUACGGUUACUAAAACUGGAUCAUGUCAUCAUGAGCAUUGCAUCGCAUAUUUGUUAAGCACAUUAUUAUGCAUCAACUUAAAAAAAGUUUAUUUUGAUUGCUUGUGCUUAGGGAAGUAAAGUGAGCUUAUGUUGUGAAGUAAUGCUUGUGUUGGUUGUAUAAUCCCUAGGGUGGAAGGUUUCCGAGAAAAUAGGGGGGAAAACCCUGAUUUUAGAACCCUAGAUUUGCCCCCUUUUGUGUAACCUAAAAACUAAGCAAAAUUUGGGGAUGAGUUCAAAAUCAAAGUUGUAGAUCUGGUCAAGAUGUACAACUUUGGUGUUUUGAGUUUUUGAAGUUUCAAUACAAAAUUCAAAGUAAUUUUGAAAAUACAGAUUUCGAGAAAGUGACCCCUUUUCCAACUUGAAUCUCCAAUUCAAAAUCUAUGUGGAAUUUUGAAAAGUGAUCAACAUGAAAGUUGUAGAGCUCAAAAAGUUGAACAACUUUCAUGUUGGGAAUUUUUCAAGUUGUGUUGAAAAAUCAAAAGUAAUUUUGGAAAUUCUGAUCUGCCCCAAUUCAAAAAUUGGAAUUUCCCUAAAUUGAGAUUUGAAUUUCAAACUGUUUUGUCAAAUUCACCAUUUUCCACUCAGAAUUAGCUUUGGUCACCAGAACAUGUUUUGUAGCUUGUAAAAUUCUGCACAACUUUCAUUUUGGUGAAAAUUUGGCUUUAGUUCAAAGUUUGGACGAAUUUUGCAAAAGUUCAGAAAGGGAGAGGAUAGGGAUUGCUACAGUGAUCCGAUGAGGAUCACCAGCCCCCUGUCCAGCACGGCCGCCGCGCGUGCAGCGCCGCGUGCGCGCGUGCGAGCACGCAGCUGCCUGCCUGCCUGCGUCACUGGGCUACGUGGGCGCCCCGGGCUCGCUUCUCCCUCUCCUUGAGCACCAGCGCGGACGGUGCCGCGCGAUUUCUCUGUCCAGAACCGAAGAACCCCGACGGCCCUCUCUCUCAAAUUCACCGCACCCGAUCCAUCUCAAGUCAAAUUGAGCAUUCCACAACGUUCGCCACACCCUUGCGAACUCAGUGCACCCCCUAGCUCACCCUCUAACCCACCCAAUCAUCGACAUCUCUUCUUCUCCCCCAACUCCGGUAGGAACCCCCGCCGUGGAGCUCUCUCCGUGGCCGCGCUGUUCCAGUGAGUAACAUACCUUGCUAGCGGUUGUUUCCGGUUCCUCUCCAUCCCCAGAAGCUCAUGCGCUUUCUCUCUUUCCCUAGAUGCGAGCAGGAUCACCGGAACGACCUCGCCGGAGCCGGAGCACCCGCCCGACGACACCGCCACCAUCGCCAAAGCAUUCCGUUGCUUCUCCUGCCGUAGUGAUGUGAGCACCAUGCUCCUUGCUUCUUCCCGAACCUCCCUGACUUGCUCGUUUGCGCUCUACCGAGCCCUAGUGGCCGGUCUUCGAUCGGCUAUGGCGCCGCCCGCCAUUCGCGUGGCCGAGAUGGAAGAGAGAGAGUAGAGCACGUUUGGGUGAUGGCAAUAGGAUCGCGAGGCUGAGGCGGAGCCAUUGCGCACCCUAGCGUGGGUUGAAACCCCGCCGUCGGCGGCCGGAGUCGCGGCAGAGCCGCCGCAAGUGAGGGAGAAGGAGCUAACGGGUGGGACCUCCCCGUCAGCGACCUUUAGAGAGAGAGGAAGGGAGCAGCGCGCGUGGGCCGGAUUGGGCCAAGGCUAAACGGGCCGGCCGCAGUAACACAGCGCUGUUGUCCUUUUUCUUUUAAUUUAAAAAUGCUUGAUGUUUGAUUUUAUAUAGAAAAACAUGUACUGAUUCAAAAAUUAUGGAAAUUUUUGUAUAGGUUCCAUAAAAUGAAUAGAACACAGGAAAAAUAUUAGAUUCUAAUUUUCUGGUAGUUUGCAUGUAUAUAAAAAUUGCCUCUUUUAUUUGGUAAAUGAAACUUCCAUGAAUUUUAAUAAUUUAUGGGUAUAUCCAAAAAUCACCAAAAAUUGUGAGGAACCUCUGAAUAUUAUUCCCUGGCUUCACACAAAAUUUGGUGGUAUUUGGAUAAAGUUUGGAUAAAAUAUCAUUAAACCCUUAAUUAGUAAUUAAAUAAUAAUUCUAGAAUAAUUAGAUGAUAAUUAGUUAAAAUUCUCAAAAUUAGGGUUUGAGUGAUUUUGGGAUUGUGUGAUGACCUGAGGUCAUUAACCUUAAUGACCUUUGGCAUUUAAUUAUUGUUUGGCAUUAAUGUUUAAUUACUGUCAUUAAUACUUAAUUAAGAGUUAAUUAAGAUAAAAAGGAUUAAUAAUUAGUUAAUUAAGGAUAAUUAUGAAUUAAGAGAAAUCUUGAUUUACUGAUGCAACCUCUUGGGUAAAAACACUAAAAUGAUAAACAACUUUGAUUACUGUUUAACCCAUCCUUGCAUCAAGAAGGAAAGUGUACUUAACUCGGUCCUUCUCAAAUAAUUGUCAUACGCAUAUCAUGAGCAUCUAUCAUUUUGCGUAUAGUGCACGUGACCGAAGGAGCGACCGUUGAACCGAACCCCGAGGUCGGUGCUCCGUUCGAGGAAGUAGGAUCCGAGACUUGGAAAAUCUCCGCGGGUCCCUCUCAGCUCUGCAACCAAGGCAAGCCCCGGAUGCAUUAACCCCUCCUUGAAUGUUUUAAACCUUUUAUCACUUAUGAAUUGAAAAUGCUGCAUUACGUAGUUGAGAAUUGGGUUAACCUACUUGUUGCAUUUACUACCUUGGUAUUUGUUAUCUUGUCCUUGGCAACUGUUUUGUUUUACAACUGCGUAGUGAUGCUUAGCCCUGCUAUUAGAUAAGUUUUCAAACAAGAAAGUUUGAAGGGUUGUUGUGGAAUACACUUAUGGUCAAUGAUGUUUCAACUUGAGACCGGUCGGUGGACUUGCUUUAAGAAUGGAGUCUUAAAGUAGUGUCUCCAACUGUGUCGGUUAAGGACCGGUCCGUUGAUGGCCUACUGGGUUGAGAAUUUAUAGUACUAGCCACUUGCCCUCGGUAAGCCCGAUCUUGUGAUCCCUCGACGUGAACAGCUACUCGCGCACUGGGCGUGGAGCGAUGGCGAGAGUAGCGUGUACCCACCUUACGGAUCUGAGAUGACCGGGAAACAUCUAGAUCGGCUGUAGGAUGGUGGGGUACUGUGCUCUCGGGUGCCGCGAACCUGGUCAAAUUUGGGGAGAGCUCGAUUUGGGUUGAUAUAUGCAAGAUUUGGUUCUACAUAUGUCGGGUGGUUAGGAACUCCAGGUGGAUUGCUAAGCGAUUCGAAUCGUCGUUGCUCCCCGAUUGGGAGACUCAAUUCCUUCGACCCUCAUCAUAGUUAAAUAUGCAACUAAAUGAUAAAAUGAGAAAGGGGGAAAUGUCGCAUGAGGUUCGGAUCCCAAUUCUCGGACUCAGAGUGACAUGAAGCUAUGGCCGUUGGAUAGAAAAUACUUUGAUUAAGGAUUAGGAACUUACAGACUUGUCUGUGAGAAGCAACUAGAUAGACUGUCCUCGAACUCCUUGACCUCUUAAGGAGAGAAAUUCGUGGGUAAAACUUGAAAGUAAGGAUGCACUAUUAGUAAGCUUUUUGGCAAAACAAUUUGGCUCCUUCCUCAGCCACUCCUUGUCUACCCUAAGCCUGCAUUCCUAAGUUCUCCUCUUUUUCCGCCGGGUAAGUCUUGUUGAGUACUCCCGUACUCAGGGUUUUAUAACCCCUGUUGCAGGUGAAGUUCAGGAGCCGACAUGUUUCGGACCCUGUUGUGUGACCGUCGUCGAGGUUGACGACGAAGAAGAGUGAGCGUGACCCAUGGGCAGGGUCUGUAAAUUUGUAAUCUAUGUACUAAAGUUUAAGUUGCUCCGCUGGACCUGGCUUGUAAUAACACUCUACUAUUUGGAAGAACUACUUUUGUAAAUUAAGUUAUGUAAUGCUUCCGCUGUUUUACUCUGAAAUAUUAUUUUGGUCUUAUGUCGUUUGUGAUACCGCAAUGUCUUCGCAACGAGUGAUCCUGGUGUUAAGGUGGCCACUUGCUAUCCUGUAAGGGCGAGAAGAAGAAGUUCUCGUUAAUUGACCAUCGCCAGUGGUCAGGAUGAGCUUGCUUGAUACGCCACAGGUAGCGGUGGAAUGAGCGUCCUGAGAUGCUCAUCGGACUUCUAGAGUGGGAGGAUCCCCGGCAUCACCGUCAGAGGUCCUUAGGACAAUGACAGGUGUCGGUGGGCCCAAACACUUAGGAGGUUCUGCCACAAUAAUCUUUUAGCUAUGGGUGCAGUACCAGGUAGUAAUUCAAUAAUAAAUUCAAUGUCUCGGUUAGGUGGCAUACCUGGCAAUUCAUCUGGAAAGACAUCCGGAAACUCAUCCACUACCAGGUUCUGAGGAUCAACAUCAUCAUUCAGUUGGUUCACUUUAGCGGUGAGUGGUGCUUGCACUGCUACAUCAACACUGAUUCGUUCUCCCUUUGGUGUUGUCAGGGCCACUACUCUCUCCUUGCACUUAAUAUCUGUGUCAUAUUGCUUCAUCCAAUCCAAACCCAAGAUCACAUCUAUGCCUGAAGUUCUCAUAACCAUGGGACUGAUAGGAAAAUCUACCCCCCUUAAAGAGAGACUUGCUGAGGGGCAACAUAAAGAAACUGGUAUAGUCCCACCCGGUGAAUUAACUAGCAUAGGGGUUUUCAUUGCAACUAGUGGAACGCUAUGAACUCUAAUAAAUGCUUGUGAUAUGAAAGUAUGCGAAGCUCCAGAAUCAAAUAAAACUGUAGCAGGGAUACAGUUGAUACUGAACGUACCCAUCAUGAUUUCUGGUCCCUCCUGAACUGUUUCCGCUGCCACGUUGUUCACCUUUGCUGAAUUAGGAGUGGAUCUCCGGUCGUUGUUCUGUGGAUUAAACUUCUCUGGGCAAUCAUAGGACAUAUGUCCUUCCUUCCCGCAACGGAAACACCUGGUAGGAGUGUUAGAAGCACUUCUUUUUGUGGAGUUGGCAUUUGAGUUCCCUGAGCGAGAUGUCUGCUGACCAUGCUGCUGUUGAUUAUGAUUACGUUGUUGGAAUGGAGGACGUUGGUUUCCACUCUGUGAUUGAUUCUGGAAACGCUGGGGCUGCUGGUUGCGGUUCCACUAACUAACUGGUCCCUGGAACCUCUGCUGAUAGCCUUGAUGAGAACUGAAACACUGACGGUUGUUGCUCCUAGAGCCUUGUGCCAGCAUCCUUCUCUUCUUAUCCUGACCCUUACGCAUAUUAACAAGCACAAUGGCAUGAUUCACAAGUGCCUGGAAGGUAGGAUAGGUGUUUCCAGCCAACUGCAACCUGAGCUCGUAGUAAAGACCUUUCAUGAAUAGACGCUGCUUAUCAGCAUCUUCCCUGACAUCGUUCGGAGCAUAGCGAGCCAACUGUUCAAAGGUGUCAUGAUAUUCUGCCACAAUCAUGGAGCCCAUCCUGAGUGAUCGAAUUCUUCUUGCUUGAGCUCCAUCAUUCCCUCAUUUAUAUGUCGAGCUCUGAAAUCUCUACAGAAUUCCAGCCAUGUGACAGGAGGAGCAUUGUUGGGACGAGUAGCCUAAUAUGACUCCCACCAUGUCUGAGCUGCCCCCUGAAGCUGUCCAGAAGCAUACAACACCUUCUCUAAGUCAUUGCACUGUGCUAUGUUCCUCUCCACAGCACGUAACCAAUCAUCUACCUCCAUGGGAUCAGCUGAGUGUGUAAAUACUGGGGGUCUUCCCUUCAUAAAUUCCCCCCGCUUAUCUCUCACAUGAACAGGUGGUGGUGUUGGUGGUGGUUGCUGCUGUAGGUGCUGCAUGAAAACGUGCAUCAUCUCAUUUUGAGUUUGCAUGAGUUCCUCCACAGUGAUUGGGGCAUUGCCACCAUUGCCCUUGCCAUGGCCUCUACCUCUGCCUCUUCCCCUUGCUGUCAUCUGCAUUCCAAGGUAUAUAAACACAUCUUAGUAAUGUCCAACAUGACAAUUACAAGAGUUAACGGAAUCUGAAAUUUUCUGGGUAACAUCCAACAUCAGCAGAUCCGAAAAUCAAUCAUAUCUCGGGUUCCAGAAUUCAAAAGGAUACAUGCUGUACACCGUUGGAAAGAUAAAGAAAUUGUCUACAACUUUCAUUUAGAUCAUAUUAACAGAUUCCAACGUUAGGUUAAUCAAAAACUGGGUACAACCGAAACUGUUCUAGAAUUCCAGACUGCGCAGAAACCUCAAUCUUUAAACAGUCAUAACUCACAGCUCAUAAUAGAUAAUAUGGUCAUUCUUGUUGGAAAGAUAUGAAAGUCUACUUGUUCCCAGAAAAAUUUGAUGAACAUUGCAUGAACAGAAUUUGAUUUAUACCAGAAUCAUUGCAGACUGCUCCAGAAAAACAGCAAAAGACAGAAACAGGAUAUGACCCCAAACCACUAUUUAUUCAUGUUCUUACUUAAGGUUCUUAACUAGGGAACUUGUGGACACGCCCACAAAGUCCCAGCACUCAUUACAAAAAUCCAAAUCACACAUAUUCAUAAUAACAAAUCAGCAAGCACACCAAGUUCACACCACACUAACAAAAGACUCGAAAUAACUCGCAAACUACUAACGUUCCUAUUACAUAUGGGUUCUUUCUAUUCCUCGGGAGCAGCAUCCUUCAAGAUAGGGUCAAGACGCAGCCUCUUAUGGAGUUUGGGACGGCCUAACUCCACUCGAAGGUCAUCUGCUUCCCUUUGCUCUUUCUCCAGCAGCUUCCUCUCACGGUGUAGUUCAUUCUCCAACUCUAUCACCUUGACGGUCAGCUCAUAAGUCAACUCCACUUGUGCUUGAAGCUUUGGUUGUGAAGCAUCUGCAACUUCUAUGGCCCAAGUCAUCUUCUCUGGUACAAAGCGAGGAUAGUGAUAUGUUGCAUUGUACUGGACAUCCUCAAAGCAUCUACCACGGUAAAAGAUCAAGGCCUGGUAAGCUGCAUCUGCCAUGCUUUCCUUCAUCGUGUCCCGACUGAUUCGAGAGAUGUGUUUUGAUUCCACCUUUCGAAUCCCCUUAGUGGCAUCCAGUGUCUUGACUACCAGCUCUGCAACCUAAAGUGAUCUCCUCAGAGGGUGUUUGUGCUCAGUGCAGUUAUACUCCAGUGUGGCUUGCAAAUCCGGGUAAUGGUGUUCCAAUGUCAACACCAAAUUCUCAUGGAAGAAAGCCUUAGGAUCUGCUUCAGGAAUCCACAGCUCACAGCUCAGUAGUCCAUCCCAUCCUUGCAUUAGCAGACUGUGGUGGAGGUGGAUCUUGCAUCUCCUCAUCUUCAGGCACCUCCUCCUGAGCUUCCACCCUUGACUCCUCAUCUGCCAGCUCAGGAAUACCUUCCACAUGCUGUCCUCUUGGGUUGAACAAGGCACGGUACUCCUCAGUAGCCAUGCGUGCAGCACUACGGGUACGGGGCGGCAUCUACAAAAAGUUUUUAGACAUAGAUCAGAUGGAUGAAAUAAUUUUACAAUAGAGCAAGAUAGAGAAGCAUAAACUUUUAGCAAAUAACAAGACCAUAGUGGGAAGCAUGAAGUAAAAUAAAGGGCCUAAAUUUUCGACCAUUGCUAACUAGGUUUGCGUCCUACAGUCAACAAAGUUUUGAUACCAAUUUGUCACACCCAUAUUUUAAGAACAAAAUAGGAUGCAUAAGAGACUCAUAUGUGCCCCAAAAACAGUCGCACACAUAAGUAGACAAAUCAAAAAUGUACCAUUGUAGUGUUUAUUACAUAACGGAACAUAAUAAAUCACAUAGUCUCAUACAAAAAUGAUAGCAUAGAAUAAACAACGCUCUCGACGGAAGCUCCACAUAGGGACACUGUUGACUGGUUGACUCCAAACCUAGUAC